Molecule: ribosomal RNA, 471 nt
Filed under: uncultured bacterium
Lineage: Bacteria
Description: SSU rRNA
Rfam family: Bacterial small subunit ribosomal RNA
Source: RNAcentral
AGGACGAACGCUGGCGGCGUGCUUAACACAUGCAAGUCGAGCGGAAAGGCCCUUCGGGGUACUCGAGCGGCGAACGGGUGAGUAACACGUGAGUAAUCUGCCCCUAGCUCUGGGAUAGCUCCGGGAAACCGGGAUUAAUACCAGAUACGACCACUUUAGACAUCUUCUGUGGUGGAAAGAACUUCGGCUAGGGAUGAACUCGCGGCCUAUCAGCUUGUUGGUGAGGUAACGGCUCACCAAGGCGACGACGGGUAGCCGGCCUGAGAGGGCGACCGGCCACACUGGGACUGAGACACGGCCCAGACUCCUACGGGAGGCAGCAGUGGGGAAUAUUGCGCAAUGGGCGAAAGCCUGACGCAGCGACGCCGCGUGGGGGAUGAAGGCCUUCGGGUUGUAACCCUUUCAGCAGGACGAAGCGAAAGUGACGGUACCUGCAGAAGAAGCGCCGGCUAACUACGCGCCAGCAGCCGC